CGGCGCUGCGGCCGGGGGCAGCGGCGGGGGAGGCGCAGCUCCGCUCCGGGCUCGGGCAGGGGCUCGAGAUGCGCCCGGGGAGGCAGCGCGGAGCCGCCCGCCCGCCCGCCCACACGGCGCUGCACGUGCCCCGAGCCGGCAUGCGGGAGCCCCGGGGCCGCCUGCUCCUUCCCUCCCCACCCCGGCCCCCAACAGCCGCGGACCCGCCUUCUCCGCGCCUCCUGGAUGCUUAGUGCUACCUUUUACACGUGGCUAUUCGCUAAUUACCAAGGGGAUGAGGAGGAUGAAGUACAUGAAGAAGAAGCUGGUCCACCAGGAGAGUACAAAGAAGAUGAAGAUGAAGAUGAUGGAGAUUCAGAUUUGGGGGAGGGUGAAGAGGAGGAAGAAGCUGGCCUUUCAUACCUGAUGACGGACAAGAUCCAGUGGUGAACAACGUGACCCCUGAUGCACGACUGAUCACGCAGACCAGCUGCCAGCUCUGGGUGGUGGAGGAGCAGUCCAUCAGCCACAUCAACGGCGCCUUUGACUGCAAGCAGGAGGUGCUGGAGGCCUCGGGCCAGGUCAGCAUUAACUGGCCCCGGGAGUGACCUUGCUGUGGGGAGGCUCCUCAAGGACCUGCCCAUCCCCUCUCAGAGACCUGCCUGCACAGCUUCACGUGCCCCCACACCCAAAGGCCUCCGUGUAGAGGGGGCAGGGCCGCAGGCAUGGUUGUGGUUGAACUUUGAAGAUGUGUUUUGGGGGCCUAAUGCAAGACAUGUUAUAUUUUUAGAGCUGUUCUUCUACACCUGCUGCUUUCCCAGGAGAGAGAGACUUAAUUUAUAUGAAUGGGAGGGAGGGGGUUGUACUGGAACGGUCUGUUUUAGGCAGGAGUGAGGGCUGUCCUUGUCCCAUUGCUGGGUUCCCUGCCCCCAGUCUGGAGAAUGGCUUGAGCCUUGUUUUGCUUUCACCCAAGAAGAUUAUAUUAAAAUAUAAUAAAGGAAAA
Molecule: long non-coding RNA, 982 nt
Organism: Alligator mississippiensis (American alligator)
Lineage: Eukaryota; Metazoa; Chordata; Crocodylia; Alligatoridae
Exons: 3
Source: RefSeq, a predicted model, not a curated record